GGCCGAAUGGUCUAGUCGCAUGAUUCCUGCUUUGUAAGCUCUACCUUCACCACACACACCCAAACUCUCACUAACAUUGUCACCAGGGGUUCUUCACUCAUGUCUGCAGGAGGUCCCGGGUUCAACUCCCGGUUCGGCCC
This is a non-coding RNA of Dothidotthia symphoricarpi CBS 119687, 140 nucleotides long. The record is from the annotation of a RefSeq genome assembly. NCBI's taxonomy places the organism in Eukaryota, Fungi, Ascomycota, Dothideomycetes, Pleosporales, Dothidotthiaceae.